This 406-nucleotide ribosomal RNA is filed under the name uncultured bacterium. RNAcentral's name for it is "partial 16S ribosomal RNA". It matches the Rfam family "Bacterial small subunit ribosomal RNA", at positions 30 to 526 of the family's 1533-position model. The record is from RNAcentral.
AUUGAACGCUGGCGGCAGGCCUAACACAUGCAAGUCGAGCGGGCGGCGGACGGGUGAGUAAUGUCUGGGAAACUGCCUGAUGGAGGGGGAUAACUACUGGAAACGGUAGCUAAUACCGCAUACCAUCAGAUGUGCCCAGAUGGGAUUAGCUCGUAGGUGGGGUAAUGGCUCACCUAGGCGACGAUCCCUAGCUGGGCUGCGAGGAUGACCAGCCACACUGUAACUGAGACACGGUCGAGACUCCUACGGGAGGCAGGAGUGGGGAAUAUUGCACAAUGGGCGCAAGCCUGAUGCAGCCAUGCCGCGUGUAUGAAGAAGGCCUUAGGGUUGUAAAGUACUUUCAGCGGGGAGGCGUUACUCGCAGAAGAAGCACCGGCUAACUCCGUGCCAGCAGCCGCGGUAAUUC